Molecule: long non-coding RNA, 1372 nt
Organism: Lathyrus oleraceus (garden pea)
Lineage: Eukaryota; Viridiplantae; Streptophyta; Magnoliopsida; Fabales; Fabaceae
Exons: 2
Source: RefSeq, a predicted model, not a curated record
UAGUCAGGCCCACGCAGGGAGGGGUAUAGAAGGCCAUGGAGGGGGUGUGAAGCCAUAAAACACUGAGUGGGCCUUAAUUGGGAUUAGGCCCAAUCCAGAUGGAUAUCCAACGAGGGAACGCAAGGUUCCCCUCAUCUUCUUCCCUUCGCUCGCAAGUCGCAACCAACGGCAGCUCAAUGCCAAACGCCGAUCCCGGCCAUGCCGGCGACGCAACACGGCGGUCCCUACGCCGUCCGCCGUUCCGACCUCCCUUCACCAAAACGAGAUAACCUGAUCUUACCACUUAGAAAUGUCUAACAAGAUCCUUCGACGCGGUAAAUCUAUUAUGAACGAAAACAGAAACGGAUUCGUGUCGCUCUCACGAAUCAGAUCGAAUAUUCGAAGCGGAAUGAACUCGGUGACGACUCACACCACAACACCAGAAUUAAUCAUCGUAAUGGGGAGAAACAACCUACCGGCGGAUGCGACGGGAACGACGGAGACCGACUGAGAAAAUUGGAAUUAUGGUGGAUUGGUUAUGGUAACGCAGGAUUGGUACAUCGUGCUGGAGACGGCGAUGCGGAAACGAGGAGUUCUUGGAAGGAUUUACGGAGGAAUUAUGCAGGUGGUGGAGAUUGUCGUGCGGGAAUAAGAGAAAGGGAAGAAGAAGUUUUUGGAAGAUUUGAGAAGUUGUUCGAGUUUGUUACGAUGGCGGAAGAGGAUAAUGGAAAAGUGAGGAAGAAGAAUUUCGAAAAAAUGAAUUGAUGGCGAGAGAGGACUCGGGAGCCUCCUUUGUUCACAUAUUUAUAGAGCUGAGUUUUGUGUUUCUUCAUGUCAUUCCUGUUAUCUGCAUUUUGAGCUUGUGGAUUUUUGGCUUUUGCAUUGUAGCAUUUUGAUUUCGCACGCGUGUGCGUUUGGAGCUGUAGUUGGUAGCCUCACGUUUCACUGCGUUUUAACGUACUGUUGUUGCAGCUUGGUUUUUCUGUCAUGGCUUGUAUGGGCUUUGGUGGUUUGCAGGUUGUUGGAGCCGUUGCUUUGUGGCUUAGAUUAUCACAUUUUGCUGCUGAGUCGAGCUUUGGUAGCAGCUUUUCGUUUAUGCUUCCUGUUUUGGUUGUUUUCACUUGCAGCUUUAUGCUUGAAUUCUUUGCGUUUGGAAGAGCUUUUGAAGUUGGCUUUGUAGUAGCAUUGUUUCUUGCGCGGAUGGAAGCUUUUCGCAUGCUGUAGCAGCUGGUAUUGUUUUUCAUUGCCGUUUGGCUUAUGCAGCUACUUGGCAGCUUGUGUUUGAAAUGUUAUCCACGUUUGAUUACUGCAAUGCACUGCAUUGUAAUUCAUGUUGUACUUAUUUUAAUAAUUGGAACAUGGAUAAUGGGAAUGAAUACUUGGUUAAUGGAUA